This 725-nucleotide ribosomal RNA is filed under the name Escherichia coli. RNAcentral's name for it is "partial 23S ribosomal RNA". It matches the Rfam family "Bacterial large subunit ribosomal RNA", at positions 189 to 955 of the family's 2925-position model. Lineage: Bacteria; Pseudomonadati; Pseudomonadota; Gammaproteobacteria; Enterobacterales; Enterobacteriaceae. The record is from RNAcentral.
GGAACUGAAACAUCUAAGUACCCCGAGGAAAAGAAAUCAACCGAGAUUCCCCCAGUAGCGGCGAGCGAACGGGGAGGAGCCCAGAGCCUGAAUCAGUGUGUGUGUUAGUGGAAGCGUCUGGAAAGGCGCGCGAUACAGGGUGACAGCCCCGUACACAAAAAUGCACAUACUGUGAGCUCGAUGAGUAGGGCGGGACACGUGGUAUCCUGUCUGAAUAUGGGGGGACCAUCCUCCAAGGCUAAAUACUCCUGACUGACCGAUAGUGAACCAGUACCGUGAGGGAAAGGCGAAAAGAACCCCGGCGAGGGGAGUGAAAAAGAACCUGAAACCGUGUACGUACAAGCAGUGGGAGCCUCUUUAUGGGGUGACUGCGUACCUUUUGUAUAAUGGGUCAGCGACUUAUAUUCUGUAGCAAGGUUAACCGAAUAGGGGAGCCGAAGGGAAACCGAGUCUUAACUGGGCGUUAAGUUGCAGGGUAUAGACCCGAAACCCGGUGAUCUAGCCAUGGGCAGGUUGAAGGUUGGGUAACACUAACUGGAGGACCGAACCGACUAAUGUUGAAAAAUUAGCGGAUGACUUGUGGCUGGGGGUGAAAGGCCAAUCAAACCGGGAGAUAGCUGGUUCUCCCCGAAAGCUAUUUAGGUAGCGCCUCGUGAAUUCAUCUCCGGGGGUAGAGCACUGUUUCGGCAAGGGGGUCAUCCCGACUUACCAACCCGAUGCAAACU